Molecule: ribosomal RNA, 447 nt
Filed under: uncultured bacterium
Lineage: Bacteria
Description: bacterial SSU rRNA
Rfam family: Bacterial small subunit ribosomal RNA
Source: RNAcentral
CGACGAAAGUCCGUUCGGGGCGAGUAGAGUGGCGGACGGGUGAGUAACGCGGUGGGAAUCCUACCUAGAGCGGGGGACAACCCGGGGAAACCCGGGCUAAUACCGCAUACGUCCUACGGGAGAAAGAGGGCCUCUGCUUGCACGCUCUCACUCCAGGAUGAGCCCACGUCCGAUUAGCUAGUUGGUAGGGUAAAGGCCUACCAAGGCCACGAUCGGUAGCUGGUCUGAGAGGAUGAUCAGCCACACUGGGACUGAGACACGGCCCAGACUCCUACGGGAGGCAGCAGUGGGGAAUAUUGGACAAUGGGCGCAAGCCUGAUCCAGCAAUGCCGCGUGUGUGAAGAAGGCCUGCGGGUUGUAAAGCACUUUCAGUGGGGAAGAACAGAUUCGGGUCAAUACCCCGGAGCCCUGACGUUACCCACAGAAGAAGCACCGGCUAACUACGUG